Molecule: long non-coding RNA, 1637 nt
Organism: Canis lupus familiaris (dog)
Lineage: Eukaryota; Metazoa; Chordata; Mammalia; Carnivora; Canidae
Exons: 5
Source: RefSeq, a predicted model, not a curated record
GCUUCUUAAGGACACACCUGCCUACAAAGAACAAGUUUUCUUCUUAAUCUUCUCUGUGUUGUAAAGUGUGCAAAGAUGGAAACAGAAACUACUAUAGACCAUGGUAUAUUAAAGUUAUCUGCUUGGAUUUCCUAUCUCAUCACCUCUGUGGUGAAACUUGUGUGAGGGCCAGUUUAUGAUCAUGGAUUCUAAGUGGAGAAUCAUCUCCCUCAAGCCAAUAUUAAGGUCAAGUUUGACCACCAAAGACACGAAACAAUGCCUUACUCACAUGAUGGUUAUCAGCACUGAAAAUUCAGGCAUGGAUAUUGGAUUUUGCCCAAAGAUUCUUCUGCAGAUUUGUCCAGCCCAAGCUGCUGCAGGGCACAGUCCAGGUGGUUCAGGGCUUCGCACAGCACCACCUCCCCAUCACGGUCCAAGCUAAUCCAGUGCAAAUUCAAGGUCUUCAGUGAUGUGCAGACAGUGAGAGCCGAGGCCAGCGCCUCACAACAGGCAGUGGUGAGCUGCCACAUAUCCAGCCCAAGAUGCUCUACUUUACAGUCUGGAUGCUUCAGAGCUUCACAUAACUGCUUGACACCAGCAUCUUGAAUGUCAUUGCUCCCUAGUUUCAGGAUCUUUAGUUUUUCAUUGCAAACAAGAACAGCAGAGAGGUUCUUACAACAAAGAGAAGUGAGGCAACAAUCUGCCAACCACAACUGCUCGAUGUGGCAAUUCGGGUGCUUCAGUGCCUCACAAAGAGAUGCCACUCCAUCAUCUUCCAGGAAAUUUGACUCCAGAUCGAGAAGGGACAGGGAUUUGCUGCACAAAAGGGCUUGGGAGAUGUAGUUACAGGCCACAGAGGUGAUGCAGCAGCACAUCAGCAGCACACAGUCUGGGUGCUUCAGGGCGUCACACAGCACCAGCAGCAUGCCUUCGUUCCUCAGGGGGGUUUCUUCCAGAGAGAGCAGCUUCAGCUUCUUGUUGCAGACAAGGACAGAGGCAAUUUCUUCACAAGCUUCUGCUGUGAUGUCACACAUUCCCAACAUCAGCUCUUCUAUGCUGCAUGCCCGGUGCUUCAGCAUCUCCCACAGCUGUCUGACAUCCGCAUGGGAGAGGCUAGAGCCCUGUAGGUUCAGGUGGUGUUUUAGAUGAGGGGUAUGAGGAAUGGCCUUAUGCAAGGCUGGGCUACUUCCAAAGUCAGAAGCAAAAUUAUACACUUAGUAAUGAACACUGAUGAGGUUGCAGCCGGCCAGGUGGGUCAGCAGCCCGUCCAGGCUCCCCCGUCUACCUUGACCUGGCCUCUCUGCCCAGCGGGAGCAGUGCCCAGCUAGUGGAUGAGGAAUCCUUCCCGCGGGUGCGUGCACUCUGCUAUGUCAUCAGUGGCCAGGACCAGCGCAAGGAAGAGGGCAUGCGGGCCAUCCUGGGUGCACUGCUGGCGGGCAAGCACAGGUGACCCUGAUCCCCAGCUUUGAUUCAGGGGUAAUGCCCGAGGGGUACGAGGAGAUGCACGCUGGGCACCAGGCGCUGGGCAUCACCCUGCUGGGCAGCAAUAGCACCGUCUCCAUGCAGGGCGAGGCCUUCCCCGCCUGCAAGGUGGAGUUCUAGCUCCGUCCCAGACAGCCACCCCCUCAGCCCGGAAUCUGCUACUGUCCCGAGAUUCC